ACCACAAAUCCGCCACCCUCCACUUCUCCUCUUUCGUCUCUUCUUCACAGCUCCAUCCUCACCCACCAUCACCCCUAGCCACCAUCCACCCUUCUCCCCCCUCUAACUCCCUAAAAACUGCCUCCUUUCCCCUGUAAUCCAACACCACCAACCCCUUUCAAACUCCCCUACCGCGCCACCCACCCUUUCUGUUGUCACACACCUACUCUGGUUUCGCCCAAUUUCAAAUUCUAGGUCAGAUUUUGAAUUUUUUAUUUCAACAAUUCGAUUUUGGUUGAAGCCUAAUUUGAUUGCAUACCAUGUGGUUAUGUGCUUUGAGUUGUUGUAUGCCCUUGGAUUGGUGGUUUGUGCUAGUACUUUGUUGGAUUCAGUAAUGAUUCAUGGUUGAUGAGAUUGGAAUUUGUUCGAACUUGUUACCUUAUUUCUUUUGUUGGGACGCAAAUCUUUUAAGUGUAUGGUGGAAAGUUUCAUUUGUGCUCAUUACUUGAUGUGUUGAAUUGUUUUCUGUUAUGGUCAAAUUUCGGAUUACAUGAUGAAUGAUGCUUACUUGAAUAUUAGAAGUGCUAGUUUGGAUGGUUGUUCAUGCUUGGAUUGUCUAGCUUAGCAAUGUGAUUUUUGGUGGAUAUUGGGAAGUGGUAAAAUAGUCACUUUUAUUUGGAAUGAAUGAUGUUCAUAAUUGAAUCAUUUUGAUGGAAUUUGGAAUUGCAUCAUUGUACUUACAUGCAUGUUGGUACCUAGAGUGUUGCUAGGUCAUAUGAUGAUUCCAUUUGAUGAAUUGAUAUUGUAUUUAUGCUCAUUUUCUUCCAUUCCUCAUAUUUUCUUAUGCCAUUACUCUUGAUUAUUCAUUUCUUGCUCCUUCAUGGUUAAUUGUUUAAAGAAGCAUACUUUGUCACUUGAUGCUUUGCAUACACUCUUUAUGCUCAUUCUUGUUCAUUGGACUUUCUAUAACUUUAUGAUGAUUUCUUCAUUAAAAUUGAUGCUAAAUGAGUUAAGAUUGUUCCAUAACUUUUCCUCACCGUUGCCUUACUCAUUUAUGGAUUAUAGGAUGCUCUUAUUUAGGAUUAUAGUUAGUCUUGUUUGAGAAUAACUAGUUUUACAUAUUCUUUGCAUCUUGCCUAUGCCACAUCUACUUAUGAGCUAUUAUUGCAUAUCAUUUCCUAAGUAGUUUGGUUGCCUAUUAGUGAAUACUCUCACUCAUCCUACACUAUGUGCUUAUGUGUUCCCUUUGCUCAACUUGUGUGGCAUUUCUUGCUAAAAUAGUGCAUUGAGCUUGGAUGAUCAUCUGGUGUCAAUUAAUUUUUUGUUUUGGAUAAUCAUUAUUUUUUCAUUUUAAGAUGCCUCCUCCAAUGAAAUCUUAGACUACCAAGAAGAGGAAAGGGAAUUAUGCUUCCUCUUUUUUAGCUCCUCCUUCUUACACUCCUCCUGACCUUGUUAACCCUCACUCCAUCACAUCAACAAGAUACCUCUCACUUCACAGCUCUAGGAGGAGUGCUUUGAUAUUGUGCCGGGUUUCCCAAUGAAGAGGCUACCAUACUCUCCAACACCUCCUCAUUUCUCUUCAUAGGAGGUUGAUUCUUGAGGACCUCACGAGGAGGAAAUGCCUUGCCCCCGUUUCGCACCUACUAUCGUCAGUCUCAUGACUUUUGUAAGAUGAUGACGGUUUAUGAGUACUCUUACCCUCAUAUUGUGAGGGAGUUCUUGGCCACAUUGGACAUCGGUCACUACAUGAUCACUUUCCGGUUGGGAGGGAACUUGCACAUCAUCUCACUUGAUGAGUUUGGGGUACUACUAGGUUUUCACACACAGAAGGACAGGGAAAGUGGAGACCAUGAUAGACCUGCUACUGUUGCUAGCACCGAGAUCCCUGAUCAGCAGGACUUCUGGUAGAGUAUAGCCAAGAAUGGAAGCACAUUUGUUACUGGAAACUCGAAGGAAAUCCAGCUUCCCAAGCCAAUAAUGCAGCUUGUUCACAUGUUUGCUCGCCAUAGCAUUUCCCAUCGCUCCUCCGCCAAUUCACCAAGUGCCAUCAGCAAGAGGGAUUUCUACAUAUUUUACUGCUUGGAGAAAGAGAUAGAUAUACAUUUGUGUGAUUUGGUGAUCAGCCUCUUCAAGAUUCUGAAGUCACAUUCAACUCACUUUAUGUUGUUUGGAGGUGGCUAUGUAAGUUGGCAAUUUGCAACACCGAGGUGUUGUAUCUCUUUGACACCCCUCCGGUCAAGCUCCAACCUUUCACUUUUCGAAUGACCGACUUAGAGUAGAAUGGGGUGGAUGACUUGUUAGUUGAUGAGAUUGACACGACGGCUCAGGUUCAGAGAGCAUCCAAAUUGCUUAUAUAUAUUCGUUGUAGACUACCUAGGAGUAGCUUGCCCUUCACCGGCACUAGGUGAUGAGAGCAUACAAAUUGAGGCUAUGAGAUCUCAAGAGCAUCGCCUGGCUUGCAAUGGCCACUUUGACUUCAUUUUUCGGGAGCAGCGAUCCACUCGGGAUUACCUCAAUGCACUCAGGGGAGAAACAACAAGCUCUUUCACCAUAAUGAGGACUAGGUUUGGAUCAUGAGGACUGAGACACACUGAAUACAGCUGACUCAAGACUGGUAGAAUGAGAAUAUGGUAUAUGACCAGGUCUUGCACUUAAUUGUGUGGUUUGGUAAAUGAAUGAUAUCUUUCACACUAUGAAGGACGCUUGAGUAGCUAGGCAUGUCAUUUUGAUCACCAUCUUUCGGUACCUUCUUUGUUUGAGUUGUAGAUUUUCUUAAGGAAACGCAAUUUUCAAGUGUGGCGUGGUUUGAUGUCACUCCAUAUUGUAGUGAUAAACACACUGGCCUUAACUACCAUUUCGAUUGAUUUGAUGUUUUCCGACUGGUUUUGAGUGAUAUAGUUGUGCUUGGAAGGGAUUUUGUGCUAUGUGUCUCAAACAAACCAUUAGGGUCCAUUUUACUUUUUUCAUUGAGUUUUCUCUAACGUUUUAGGUAUUCAUUAGAUAGAGGGUUCAAAGAUGAAGAUGGCGGUUCAAGUCGGAGGUCAAUCAGAGGUCGGACGAGCGAGAUAUGGGACCGAUACUGAUGAACAGUCACAUGCCUUUUGACAUAUGGAAUGAUCACAAGCCAUGUGAGCAAUUUGGAGAAGCGUAUUUAAGCCAUUUUGGAGGAGAGAGGCAACAUAACAACAUAUUCCACCACGAGUCCAAUUUUGAGCUCUCUCCCCACCCUUUUGGAACCCUAGAAGAGAAGAUUGACGAGCGAUUGAAGGUCGUGAAGCUUUCUUGGAUUGAGUGGAUCUUGGAGUCUAGAUUGAGGAGCAAGUAAUCAUGAUCACGAAGUCCCUCUUCCUUAGAUAUCAAGGAUGAUGAUUCUAACUUCUAUUUCUCCUCUUAGUUUUGACAUACUAGUCUAAAUCCUCUUGUUGUUCGAUUAGGGAUGAUGUUGGUGCAAGGAUAAUCGCCCCAUCUUGAGGGUUUGGACAAGAUUUGGAAGAUUUAUGGUAAUGGGG
Molecule: long non-coding RNA, 3488 nt
Filed under: Linum usitatissimum (flax)
Lineage: Eukaryota; Viridiplantae; Streptophyta; Magnoliopsida; Malpighiales; Linaceae
Description: long non-coding RNA (LUSI_LNC003023)
Source: RNAcentral